Molecule: ribosomal RNA, 667 nt
Filed under: Bacillus sp. (in: firmicutes)
Lineage: Bacteria; Bacillati; Bacillota; Bacilli; Caryophanales; Bacillaceae
Description: bacterial SSU rRNA
Rfam family: Bacterial small subunit ribosomal RNA
Source: RNAcentral
CUUGCUCCCUGAUGUUAGCGGCGGACGGGUGAGUAACACGUGGGUAACCUGCCUGUAAGACUGGGAUAACUCCGGGAAACCGGGGCUAAUACCGGAUGGUUGUUUGAACCGCAUGGUUCAGACAUAAAAGGUGGCUUCGGCUACCACUUACAGAUGGACCCGCGGCGCAUUAGCUAGUUGGUGAGGUAACGGCUCACCAAGGCAACGAUGCGUAGCCGACCUGAGAGGGUGAUCGGCCACACUGGGACUGAGACACGGCCCAGACUCCUACGGGAGGCAGCAGUAGGGAAUCUUCCGCAAUGGACGAAAGUCUGACGGAGCAACGCCGCGUGAGUGAUGAAGGUUUUCGGAUCGUAAAGCUCUGUUGUUAGGGAAGAACAAGUGCCGUUCAAAUAGGGCGGCACCUUGACGGUACCUAACCAGAAAGCCACGGCUAACUACGUGCCAGCAGCCGCGGUAAUACGUAGGUGGCAAGCGUUGUCCGGAAUUAUUGGGCGUAAAGGGCUCGCAGGCGGUUUCUUAAGUCUGAUGUGAAAGCCCCCGGCUCAACCGGGGAGGGUCAUUGGAAACUGGGGAACUUGAGUGCAGAAGAGGAGAGUGGAAUUCCACGUGUAGCGGUGAAAUGCGUAGAGAUGUGGAGGAACACCAGUGGCGAAGGCGACUCUCU